GGGACCUCUUUUGCAGGGUGCGAACAUUUUCCUAAAUAAAAAUGGGCCACACCACUUGUGUGAAGAACCCUUAAACCCUAAACCUGAACCUCCCAACACCCCAGGAAAAAAAAAAGAAAAGAAAACCAGACCACCACGUCUUAGCUCGAUCUGAAACGGCCAUGGCGACAUCAAACAAUUCAGGAGGAGGCCUGGAAGCCCUCCAGCGUCUGAAGUCGGCGGAGCCACCAGUCUAUCUGUCUCCAUCGCCGGAGCUCUCUCAGGCCGCACGGUUAGCCUCGGAGUACAUAUUCUCAUCCCUCAAACCCUUCACCCCCAAAUCACCCUUCGAUCACCUCUUGGUCAAUGGCUUCGACGCCGAACAGAUUUGGCAGCAAAUCGACCUCCAAUCCCACCCCCUGAUCUCGACGCUCCGACGUGAACUCAACAAGUUUGAGAAGAAUCCAGGAGAAAUUUCGAAGCUUUUUGGGGAAUUUAAGAUGGAGGAGGGGUUAGAGAAAGUGAAGAAGGUAGAUGAUUUAGAGAGAGAAAUUGAGGGUUUUGAGGGGUUGGAUGGAGUGGAAGAUGAGGAUUUGGAAGGGUUUGAUGAUGAUGAGGAUGAGGAAGGUGAAGACACAGAUAAUGAGGAUGAAAAGGAGGAAGGGGAGGGGGAAGAAGAAGGCGGUAGUGACGACGACAAUGGUGGUGGUGGUGGAGUUGAAGACAGGUUUUUAAAGAUUAAGGAAUUGGAGGAGUAUUUGGAAGAUGACGAGGCGAGAGAGUAUGGAUUGGAGAAGAAGAAAAAAAAGGGCAAUGUUAAAGUGCCAAAUAAGGAUGAAGAAGAUGAUGAAGAAGGGGAUGAGGAUGAGGAGGAAGAUGAGGAAGGCGACGAGCUUGGAAUUUUUGGGCCUGAUGUUGUUGAUGAUGAUGAAGGAGCAGAGUUGGAAAACGUCAGAUAUGAAGACUUCUUUGGUUCUAAAAAGAAAAAUGAUCAGAAAAGAAAAUCUAAACUGAUUGAUGGGUCAGAUGACUUGGGGACAGAUGAUGAGCAAGAAGAUGAAGAAGAUGACGACGAGGGCUUUGAUAAUCAGAAACAAAAUCUUUCUACCCAUGAAAAAGAACUAGAGAAGCUUCGAUCUAAAAUAGAGCAAAUGGAGAAAGCAAACUUGGAACCAAAAACUUGGACUAUGCAGGGCGAGGUAACUGCUGCGAAAAGGCCAAAGAAUAGUGCAUUAGAAGUUGAUCUGGAUUUCGAGCACAAUGUGAGACCUGCCCCUGUAAUCACAGAGGAGGUUACUGCAUCCCUUGAAGAAUUAAUUCAGAAACGGAUCAUCGAGGGGCAUUUUGAUGAUGUUCAGAAAGCUCCUAGUCUGCCAUCUAAAGCACCAAAAGAAUUCAAGGAAUUGGAUGAUAAUAAGAGCAAGAAGGGACUUGCUGAAGUUUACGAGGAAGAAUAUGUUCAGAAAACUGGCCUAGUUUCCGCAGCAUUGUCUUUCUCAGAUGAACAGAAGAAAGAGGCAAGUGUGCUGUUCAAGAAAUUGUGCUUGAAGUUGGAUGCUCUAUCACAUUUCCACUUCGCUCCAAAACCGGUAAUAGAAGAUAUGUCCAUACAAGCAAAUGUCCCUGCUCUGGCAAUGGAAGAGAUUGCACCUGUGGCAGUAUCAGAUGCAGCUAUGCUGGCUCCUGAGGAAGUGUUUGCUGGCAAAGGAGAUAUUAAAGAAGAAACAGAGCUAACACAAGAAGAGAGGAAGAGGAGGAGAGCUAACAAAAAAAGGAAAUUUAAAGACCAUUAAUUUUGGGCGACAUUAUUACAGCUGAGACAGUGCAAAGGACGGCCAUGAAGAAGGCACGAGAAAGUUCCUUGCAAGAUCAUGUUGAUGGCAAGGGAGAAUUGUGAGUUUCAGCCUCGGCUUUCAAUUUAUGAAGAGUUCCCUCUUUACCCUUACAACUUGAAUCUUGCUCAAAAUUUUGGAACUGUCAAUGGCAUAUGGAUCUUUCAAAUAUGGUUGAUUCAAGUUCAAAUACUGAUUGCUCGAUGCAAACAAGAUACAAAAAGAAAGAAGUGACAGCAAAAAUCAGGAUGAGGAAAGACAGAAGAGUAUUAGUUGAAUGGGGCUUGAUGUUGAAUUUUGGAUUUUCUGUGAUUUAUGAUUAUUACUUUUAAAUUUGGAAUAUCAGUUUUGACAUGAUAAUUAAAUCAAUUGGUUACUACAAUCUACAGAGUUAGGCUUAUAAAUUCUUUACUGCUUCUGUUAGCUAACAGUAACUUGUUUAUGAAUCAUUGUUUGGGUAAGUUUAAUCACAGUUAUUAUA
Molecule: non-coding RNA, 2292 nt
Organism: Camellia sinensis
Lineage: Eukaryota; Viridiplantae; Streptophyta; Magnoliopsida; Ericales; Theaceae
Source: RefSeq, a predicted model, not a curated record